GGUGGGAGUUGUAGUUCCGCUGCGCGCCCGGGGGACCAAGCCUCGGGGCGCCAUGGCAAAGUCGGGCUGAGACAUUUUGGGCCGCCACACCCAGACGUGAUUCUCUACCCGCCUCCAGCCUGGACGUGUUUGAGGCCCGGACUCUAGGACUGCUCCAGCCCUUGGUCCGGGAUGCCCCGGCCUGGCCCUGAAGUCCCGCCCGCUGGUUUGGGGAGAACGUGGCGUCAGGUCUUCUCUCCCUCGUACUGUUUCUCGAAAAGGAGGAAAACAGCAAACCAAUGCUUAAUGAGAAAUGAAACACUUAUGAAUCUUAAAGAACAAGGAGAGAAAAAUUUGUCCGUGAACUUUGUGCUUUUUUAGACAGUAGUCAAUCUGGCUGGCCUGCGGCCUAGUGGUUAAGUUCAGCGUGCUCUGCUUUGGUGGCCCGGAUCCCAGUUAUGGACCUACACAACUCAUCAGCCAUGCUGUGGUGGUGACCCACAUACAAAACAGAGGAGGAUUGGCAUGGAUGUUAGCUCAAGGCUAAUCUUCCUCAAGCAAAAUAAGCAAAUUGGCAACAGAUGUCAGCUGAGGCUUAAUCUUCCUCAGGAAAGUAAAAUUAUUUGCAUGAAGGGUUCUGUCUGCACUCAGUAAUUUCAAUGAUUCUGCCUUUCUGGUGGUGAUGUUAACUUUGAUCACUUGGUUUAGGUGGUGUCUGCUGCUUUCUCCACUGUAGAGUUACUAUUUUUCUCCUUGUAAUUAAUAAAUAUUAUAUGGAGAGAUGCCUUGAUGUGUUACAAAUAUCCUGUUUCUCAUCGUAAUUUCACCUGCUAAUUUUAGCCAGAAGGCAUUGAUGGUUCUUGCCUGAAACAAUUGGUGUUUACCUGAUGCUAAGUAUUUUCCUCAUUUGUUCUGUAGUUAUUAUUUGGAAUUCUUCGGUAAAAAAGAGCUAUCCUUUCCCCCCAUUUAUGUCAGAUAGACUUAUGGAUAUUUAAGAAAAUUAUUAUCUUAAGCCGUAGGAAGUAUAUAUAGAGGUUGAGAGCGCAGACUCUGGAAUCAGAUGACCUGGAUUUAAUUAUUCUGUGUGCCAGUUGCGGGACUUUGUCAAGCUACGUAACUGCUCUGUGCCUUAGUUUCCUCAUUUCUAAGUGGAGAAAAUGACCCCCACCUUAGUUUGGUGUGAGAAUUAGGGGAGAUAAUACAUGUAGUCUUUAGGCUAGCUUUAAUUACUCUUUCUUAGCAAAUAUUUUGUACUGUGCUUAGUUUUACUAUUUAUAAGUUUCCCCACCCACAAAUUGAAUAUAAAAAAUAUUUGUCAUGUGCUUGCUUCCCUGAGAAAUUGUUAAAAUUCACAAAAUGAAUUUAAAAGUGCUUUGUGGUGUUAAGGAGAUGUAUAAGUUCUUAUUUCUGAAAUUAUAUAUGUAUAUUGCUAAGAUCCGUUUGGUGAUCAUGAUUUUGUUCUUGGGCUGUUCUUUGUGUUAGAAAUGUAGAUGACUAUAAAAUGUGAUAGAAUUAUUUUUUACAUUUUAGAUGUUUCAAGAGAACAGGCAAGCUACAUGAACUUUGAGUUUUUCAGUGUUCAGGCAGAGGGCGCCCUUGGACCACCAAGAAGUUAUCAUUGAAAGAAUACAGCAACAUCUACUCACUACGACUUAAUUGAGGAAUAAUAUUGGGAGUUAGACUUUUAUUUCCUGGUGAUGUAGUGAUUUCAACUCAGAGGCUAUAGAAUGAUUCAGUUCCUGGUCAGAGGAAUGCUCAAGUUUAAAGAGUACCAUGAUAGAAUGAAAAGAACACUGAAUUGAGAGCCAGGACUGUAACAACACAAACUAGAGAAGAUGACAUAAGGUACAAAAAAGCAAAUUGGCGCUGAACUAAUAUCUGUUGCCAGUCCUCUUCUAUUUUGUAUGCGGGAUGCCACCACAGCUUGACUUGAUGAGCAGUGUGUAGGUCUGCACCCAGGAUCCAAACCUGUGAACCCCGGGCCACUGAAGCAGAGUGUGCAAACUUAACCACUAUGCCACCAGGCCAGUCCUGAAUCUAAUAAUUCUUGAUGCUAUUAUUGAUCCCCGUGGCACCACUGGAUAAUUUUUUUUUUCUGCUGAGGAAGAUUAGCCCUGAGUUAACAUCUGUUGUCCAUCUUCCUGUUUUUUUUCGCUUGAGGAAGAUUAGCCCUGAGCUAAUGUGUGCCAGUCUGCCUCGACUUUGUAUGUGGGUUGUUGCCACAGCAUGCCUGACAAGUGGUGUAGGUCUCCGUGUAGGAUCUGAACCUGUGAACCUGGGCUGCUGAAGCAGAGAAUGCUGAACUUAACCACUAUGCCACGGGGCUGGCCCCUGGAUAACUUUCUGUUUAGAGACCUUGGCCACAAAUACUACAUAAACAUAGUGAUAUAUAAUUUAUCUAUUGUAGUACUGAGUUUUUUUCUAUCAACUUAAAGGCACAAAUUAAAGAACCAUUUUCACAAGUUAAUACAUCUUGUCACUGCUUCAUAUUUUAAACUCAUUUUUUCAACUUUGUGAGGAUGGGUUAUUUUAUAGACCAGAUUGUAAUAUUGGGUUGUUAUAAAUAGUAUUCUUUGCCACAUAUCCUUGACCUUCAGGUAAGCAGUGGAUGAGUUUAUUUGGUCAUUGCACGUCUAAUUUUGGUAAGGGUUUUGUGUUUUUAGCUCUUUGAAUGGGAUUAGGCAUCACAUAUAUGUGCAGAAAGAAACUAAACCUUUAAACAGCUCUGAAAUUUGGAAAAAUAUAGUUGUGUGAGAUUUUAUUUACUCAAAACAAUUUUUGUAUACAUUGUGUUAAAUCAAAAAGUGUAUUUGAAUCAUUGAUUAUGAAGAAAUGGGUGUCCAAUAUCAUCUGGAAAUGUUGUAACGAUCAUAACUCUUACUGAGCUCAUGAACCUAAAAUUAGAGGAUCUUAAGAAUCCUAUGAGUUGGAAGGGAAUGUAGAAAUUAUCUUGCCUGAUGUCAAAGUCUCUCUUCAACAUCUCUAGCACAAAGUCAUCCAUUAUCUGCUUGAAUAUGUCCAAAUAGGAGGGAACUCACUAAUUCACAAGAAGGCUGUUUCAUUUAUUUAAAGGAAGAUUAGCCCUGAGCUAACGUCUGCUGCCAAUGCUCCUCUUUUCGCUGAGGAAGACUGGCCCUGAGCUGACAUCCAUGCCCAUCUUCCUCUACUUUAUAUGUGGGAUGCCUGCCACAGCAUCGCCUGCCAAGCAAUGCCAUGUUCACACCCGGGAUCCGAACCGGCGAACCCUGGGCUGGAAUGUGCGAAUUUAACUGCUGUGCCACCAGGCUGGCCCCAGCUAUUCCAUUUUUGAAGAGUUCAAAUUGUUAGAGACCUAUUCCUUAUAUUAGAGCCAAAUCUGUCUCCCUCUAAUGUUUACCCUUUGGACUUAACCCUUUAAAAACUACAUGGAGUAAAUUUAAAGUAUCUUUCAUAUGAGUGGCAUCUCUUGUGUUCUCCCCACCAAGUCUUUUUUCUAGCUUUACACAGCCUAAGUUUCUUCAAUAUUCUUUAUGUGACAUGGUUCUUAAAACCUUCCUACGAAGUUACCUUGCUCUGAACUAAGUGAAGCUUAUCAGAGUAUCAUGUAGAGCAAUAGUCGUCAAACUUCUCUAUGCUGGAAUAGACUCACCUGGGGUGCUUGUUUCUUUCUUUCUUUUGUGAGGGAGAUUGGCCCUGAGCUAACAUUUGUUGCCAAUCUUCCUCUUUUUGCUUGAGAAAGAUACUCCCUGAGCUAAUAUCCAUGCCAAUCUUCUACUGUGUAUAUGGGAUGCUGCUGCAGCAUGGCUUAAUAAGUGGUGUGUGGGUUCAUACCUGGGAUCCAAACCUGCGAACCCUGGGCCAGCGAAGCAGACUGCAUAAACUUAACCACGAUGCUGCCAGGCCAGCCCCUGGGGUGCUUGUUAAAAUGGAGAUUCCCACAAGCCAGCCCCGAUGGUCUAGUGGUUAAAGUUCGGUGCUCUCCCCACUUCUGUGGCUGGGUUCGUUUCCUGGUCACAGAACCACAUCACUUGUCUGUCAGUUGUUGUGCUGUGGUGGUGGCUCACAUAGAAAAAGCAGUUAAAAAGAGUGCCUAAAAAGGACUGAAACUAAAUGUUUUCCUCAAAUGAUAUUAAAAAAGCCCUACAUGUUGAAAAGCGGUGUUUAACAGAAAUACUAUUUUAAUAGAACUGUCAAUACUGUUCAUUAGAUAAAAACCACAGAGCCAUUCCUGAUGGCCUAGUGGUUAAAGUUCCUUGCUCUGCUUCAGCAGCCCGGUUCAGUUCCAGUUGUGGGACCGCACCACCUGUCUGUCAGUUGCCAUGCUGUGGCAGACCCUCACACAGAAGACCUAGAAGGGCUUACAACUAGAAUCUACAAUGAUGUACUGGGGCUUUGGGGAGAAGAAAAAAGAGAGGAAGAUUGGCAAGAGAUGUGAGCUCAGGGUGAAUCCUUCCCUGCAAAAAAAAAAGAAAAAAGGCGAUUCCUGGACCUCCACCCCUGGAGAUUCUGACUUAAUAGAUCUUAAAGGGGCUCUGGGAGCUAUACUUUUAAUUUGUACCACCUGGUGAUUCUGAUGCACAAGGUCUCUGGACCUCCCUUUGAGAAAUACUGUUUCAAAAUGUAGUAUUAACAGAUCUCCGAAUUCCUUACCAAAAGGCCUCAGCUGGUGAGAAAGACAAAUGUGUAAAAUGACCCUUACAUGGCAGAGCAGGGUGCAGUGAGUGUGGGACCACAGGCUAGAGAGGGCAUGCUGAUCUUCAGCCCACUGGGUGAGGCCCAUCUUGGGAGUAGUCUGCCCUCAAGUGGGGGACUGGUUCUCUGUGCGGGAAUGAGUGUGAGGGGAGGGGAAAAGAAUAUAUACUGCCAACAAGUAACCAAAAAGAAUAAUGAUUUGCUUGUAUGGUAAAAAGAACACUUGCAAAUAGCUUUGGGUUAAAAGAAAAUCAAAACUGAAAUGAAAGACAAUACUGAGAACAUUAUAUAGCAAAACCUAUAGUAUACAGAAAGGAGUAUUAAAAAGAAAAUGUACAGCUUUAGAAAUGCACUUAGAAAACAUGAAAGAU
Equus caballus (horse) is the source of this 5021-nucleotide long non-coding RNA. Lineage: Eukaryota; Metazoa; Chordata; Mammalia; Perissodactyla; Equidae. The record is from Ensembl.